AAAUUAGGUUGGGGGCCUUCCCGCAAGACAUAUACUUCAUGGGUUUGAAGUGAGGAAAUCAGGGACCAGAAGGUUUCAACCAAGAUAGAGAGAUAUGAUCAUAUAUAUUAUAUAUAUAUAUAUAUAGAUAUAUGGAGCUAGCUAGCAUGCAGUACGGGUGAGUGGAUUCCAUGCCGUGCUUGUCAAGUUUGCAGUCUUUUUGCCGAUUAAUCCUUUGCUUCGUUGUCUGUUCGACCUUGCACAUAUGGUCAUCAAAAACCCUAAUUGGAAUUGCUCAAUGAAAGAAAACCAGUAGUGAUAAGUUCAGUUUUAGUUUUCUCGCUGAUGAAUUUCCCUUUGAAAUAACGACAUAUAUAGAAGAAGUGAUCAUCACCAGAUUAAUUAAUUAGUAUCAACACACCUUACAACUUUUAGUUUUUCUCCCUCUUUCUCACCAACAAAAAAUUAUCCUCUCUCUCUCUCUCUCUCUCUCUCUACUGUACUUAUAUCUGUAAUAUGUAUUUUAUGUGCUAUUUCUUAGGAGUAAAAUUUAGACGUACGUGUAUAGAGAUUAUAUAUACCACUUUUUACCUGAUUUGCAGGUGAACUGAAAAUUAGUAACAAAGGAAUAAUUAAUACAAGGCGUUUUAUUAAUUACUUAUCUAGAGUAGUACUGAUACUUCUUCUGUUGCUCGUAGGCUUUGAUACAUAGAUAGAUAUAUAGGUUAAUUGAUCAUCAAGAUAUAUUUAGUUAGAAUAUAACGAUAAUAUAUUUGAAUGAAAUUUGAGAAGGCUAUCAGAUUUUGGUGUCAUAGAAUGUCCAUGUAUGGUUAUAGAAGAAGUACUUCUAGGUCUCGAUCCGUACUGGUUGAGGGGGGACUUAAUUUGGGACUAGUAAAUAUAUUUAUAUUAGCAUUUCUCAUCCACUAAUUUGCUUGACACAGUGUGAAGAUUUAUAGGGAUUUGAAAAGGAAAAAGAACUGAGAUAUAUAUUCUAUAUAUGAAGGAUAUAAUUAAACACCAAUAACAUGUCAGUGAUAGUAAGCUAGAUAGCUGCUUUAUUAGGAUUAUUAAAGAAAAAAAAAAAAAAUCAACGUGUACGUGCCUGCCCUAAUCUAUAUUUGAUAAAAGUUAUUUAAUAAUUAAGGGCAUGCAUGGCAAUCUUUGAUGGUUCUAAUUAAAAUGUUGUAAUAUAUAUAUAUCAAAUAUUUUGGUGAAUAUAUGUAUAUACUAUUUAAGUCUCUUUAAUUAAGUAGAUCAUCAAGGAUAUCAUUUGUUCAUUUUUUCGAAAAAAAAUCUGAAGUGAUAUUUAUUUUUCAUUGACUGAAACAUUCAUCCAAAAAGACAAAAACAUUGAUUGGUCAUGAACAACAUUCUAUAUAUAUAUAUAUAACAAAUGCUAAAUAUUUAAGGAUCCUCUGUGUGUGUAUAUACGUGUCCCCCUCCCCUUCUUGCAUAUAUCAGUGGGUGUCAGAGCAACAAAAAUAUGGUUUGACUAGCCAGUAAAUCCUCUGCAGGGAGGUGAUAAAUUUUUAACUUCUAUCAUAAGGUUGCUAGCUCGAUCGCCCACCGGUCGUACAAUUAAGACGUACAAUUAUAUAUUUAUAGGUGGAUAAACUACUGACCUUUCUUUUAAUGAAUAUUUUCCCACCAAACAGUAAAACAUAAAAUAUCAAAACUAGGUCUAUUGUUGGUGGGUACGAUAAUUUCGGGCUAUAUAAGGUCAACAUGCUUGAAAAUCCGUUGUAUGACUAAUUAGGAAUUCUAAGCUGCAUGUGUUUUUACUAUUUUUCGUUAUUGAUAUAUAUAUCUCUCACUUUAAAAGUCUCUAAUGUACUCAUCAUUCCUAUAACUUAUACUAUUUUUCCUCUUAAAGUUACAUCAUAAUAUAUGACUUUUUUCAGUUUGGUUGCCUCACUAGAAUAUCGUUUUUCAUUUGAUUGUAUUUGAUAAAAUAUCUAAAUAAUAAUAAAUUGAUAAUAUCAUUAUGUUUUUCUAUACUCCCUUACAUUCUAACCUAUGCUAGCUUUUUUGUUUGAUGGAUGUGGGAGAUGGCCAUCCCCAUGGGGAGAUCAUUAGCUAGGGACCGCUUUGUAGUUUAACACUUUUAAUUAUGAUAAAGAGAAAUGUUAGUUAUAUAUUACACAUUUAUUUCACUUAUUUGAUCUCAUAGAGUUUAUAAAUUUUUAAUUUUUUUUUUUAAACAAGAGUUGAUCGACGGUAUUGUCGCAUCAAUACAGUAAAAUAAAAGUACAUACAAAGGUUGGUGAAGAAUAUAUGUCCACCACCAAAUUAAUUAAUUUUUGUUUCAUGCUAGAGCUGGCUAGACAUAGAGGGGACAUCUUAAUUUCUCUGUGUAGUACUACUUGCAGGCAAAACCCUAACCUGCUUUUAAGAGUUAAUUUGCAGACAACCAUAUUUGUUUCUGGGUCAUGUUAUAGGAAGUAUAGGCUAAACUGAAAGUGAUAAGCCAUUUUCUGGGCCUAAAAUUAAUGAAUUUGUUUGCAGACACGUAUAAAUAAAUAUUAUACCUAGGAAAUUAAAGACCAGUGCUAUUUAGGUCGAACUGAGAACGAAUCUGAGGUAUAAGCAAGGGACUGUUCAUUUGACAAGGCAUUGCAUGGAAUUCAACAUCCUUUUGUCCUUUUACACUGUUUCUUCCACGCCCUGAAACAGAAAUCAUCACCUUUUGAAGAUAAAAAGUCAAGACGUAUACAGAGAAAUUAAACCAUGCGAAGCCACAGAAACAUAGCACAGUACUCCAUUGGUCGUCAAUCCAUGAAAGGAAGCAAAAAAUAGUCGAUGAUAUAUAUAACUUGUGGAUCAAUUAUUCUCAUAUAAAUGAAUAGAUUAUCCAUCUAAUAUAUAUAUAUAUAUAUAUAUAUAUAUAUAUACGAAAUACAAAUUGUUAGGUUUUUUGGAUAACCAAGAUUAAAAUUAAGGGCUUUUAAAGUACUGUUCAUGCAUUUGAAUAAUUUCUUCUUCCUACUAUCACAUGAAUAUUUUAUUUUCUUUAUAUGAAAAAAAAAAAUGUUAUCUCAAAAGGACAAUUGGAUAGAAAGUCCUUGAUCUCAAUAGCACCCAUUCGUAUGUAUUUUCUUUAUAUCGUUACCGACUGGAUCAUUUUUUUUCUUUUUCUUUCUUUACCUUAAGAGGAAAACUGGAUGAAUAAAGUAAUACCCGGAAAAGUUAUGGUCUUUAACAUGAUUUUUGAGAACAUCUUUGCUGAAUCAAGGCUUGAAAAACUCUCACAAAAAAAAAAAAAAAACUCUGUUCUCUCUCAUCCAGAAAAAAGCACGGGCUAGGGAGGAGGAAGUCACGGCUCUCUCCUCCCAACCGUUUCCCUCUACUUCCCCCUUCUUUUUUUCCCUUCCCCUUCUUGCUACGUACCACCUAUUCAAAGGUUCUAUCUGCCUAAUCGGAGGCUUUAUCUGCCUCUUGGGAGGUUCGUUCUUUGACCAAUUUCACCAUCAGCUCCUUUUCUACUGCUAGACGCCCUGUUUCAGCAUCUUACAGUGGUCCUCCGCCCUUGAUCUACAAACUUUGUGAAGUUUUUUGAUUUGAUUUUUUCAAAUUUAGAUCUGUAAAUUUCAGGAAGUCACUCCCAACAAUGUCUCACUCCACCAGGAUCCUGGGCCACCCAGCUUUCAACAGCCACCAUCUGUGCCACCAUUCGACCACCAUGCACCGACGCGUGGCCCACACGCUACGACAUGUGUUGCGCCCUUGGCAGCGCGUGCGACAUUUUCUCGCCCCUCCUCAUUGCCACCGGUCGUUUCUAGCGUUCCUUGAUAGUCUCCUGGCAAGCUUCGCCGGCACGUCCCUCACGCGCCUCCCGAAGCUCUUCCAUGCCUCCCCCUCUGCUUCUGAUGCUGCUGUUUUUUGCUCUUAGAUUUUUCCUGCUUAAUGUCUUUUAUUUUCUUUAUGUUUUGUUGUUGUGUAAGUUUCUGUUAAACCCGAUAUGUUUGGGCUUACUCUUAGUCUGUGGAGUGGAUCUUUUUUACUUUUAUUUCUGGUUUCUUUUGAAAACAUUUUUUCCAACGUUACAUUUUAUCUAAAUCUCCAUGGCUUUUUAGGAAGCCUAUUUAGAUGUUUGAUAGGGGUAUUCGUAUUCCCAAUGGAUUUAUCCAUCAGUAUGCGCCGCGAUAUGAGUUUUCUCAGGCUGUAUUUGCAUUUGUCCUUUCCCUUUAUGGUCUCAUUCUUGUGCUAAUUUGUGAGGUCUGGCCGGUUGGGGUUUUAAUAAGCUUGUUUUUGUUUUUUCUUUUC
Molecule: non-coding RNA, 4245 nt
Organism: Corylus avellana
Lineage: Eukaryota; Viridiplantae; Streptophyta; Magnoliopsida; Fagales; Betulaceae
Source: RefSeq, a predicted model, not a curated record